This 400-nucleotide ribosomal RNA is filed under the name uncultured bacterium. RNAcentral describes it as "bacterial SSU rRNA". It matches the Rfam family "Bacterial small subunit ribosomal RNA", at positions 355 to 770 of the family's 1533-position model. The record is from RNAcentral.
UCAAGAAUCUUCCGCAAUGGCCGCAAGGCUGACGGAGCAAUGCCGCGUGCAGGAUGAACCCCUUCGGGGUGUAAACUGCUUUUCUUCGGGACGAAUCCGUGACGGUACCGAAGGAAUAAGCCACUGCUAAUCUCGUGCCAGCAGCAGCGGUAAUACGAGAGUGGCAAGCGUUAUCCGGAAUAACUGGGUGUAAAGCGUCUCUAGGCGGCUUUAUCAGUUCUUGGUUAAAUCUUCGGGCUCAACCCGAAGGCUGCCAAGAAUACUUUAAAGCUAGAGAAUGGAAGAGGUAAGCGGAAUUGCCGGUGUAGUAGUAAAAUGCGUUAAUAUCGGCAAGAACACCAAAAGCGAAGGCAGCUUACUAGGACAUUUCUGACGCUCACAGACGAAAGCGUGGGGAGCG